RNAcentral lists this ribosomal RNA (446 nucleotides) under uncultured bacterium. Its description in RNAcentral is "bacterial SSU rRNA". It matches the Rfam family "Bacterial small subunit ribosomal RNA", at positions 355 to 796 of the family's 1533-position model. The record is from RNAcentral.
UCGAGAAUCUUCGGCAAUGGGCGCAAGCCUGACCGAGCGACGCCGCGUGUGGGAUGAAGGCCCUUGGGUUGUAAACCACUGUCAGAGGGGAUGAAGUGCCAGAGAGCUAUCUCUUUGGUUUGACAUAGCCUCAGAGGAAGCACGGGCUAAGUUCGUGCCAGCAGCCGCGGUAAUACGAACUGUGCAAACGUUAUUCGGAAUCACUGGGCUUACAGGGUGCGUAGGCGGCUUGUUAAGUAGGGUGUGAAAGCCCCCGGCUCAACCGGGGAAUGGCGCCCUAAACUGGCGAGCUGGAGUGAGAUAGGGGUGUGCGGAACUUCCGGUGGAGCGGUGAAAUGUGUUGAUAUCGGAAGGAACGCCGGUGGCGAAAGCGGCACACUGGAUCUCAACUGACGCUGAGGCACGAAAGCCAGGGGAGCGAACGGGAUUAGAUACCCCCGUAGUCC